Molecule: long non-coding RNA, 454 nt
Filed under: Equus asinus (donkey)
Lineage: Eukaryota; Metazoa; Chordata; Mammalia; Perissodactyla; Equidae
Description: lncRNA (ENSEASG00005024016.1)
Source: RNAcentral
GUUUUUCCCCCAGGGAGACGCUCUAGCAUGUGUGACAUUUAUGGGAGACUCAGUGAAGGGGGACAACAGGUGACUCAAGAAGAGAGUGAAUAACUGGUGGUGUCACACAGCAUGUGUGCAGGGCUGGCCUUGGAGUGCAGAAGAGGAUGAUCAAAGUCGUCUCUGAUGGCUUCUAAUUUCUCUGUGAGGUUUGGCUUGGUAGGAGCUGUGUGGCCAGUUAGAAAGCUGAUGUUUCCUGGAGCUACCUCUCUCCACUCUGCCCCCACCAGUGAGCUGCAUAAACUGGUCUCUCUGGUUUGGAUGGAAAAAAAGCACACAGGACACAAGACCCAAAGCAAGGUCUAUACAGUACUGGUCCAGGGGGCUCACCGGAAUGGACUUACAGAAACAUUGCUGAUGAAGCCCCCAGUCCUCAUGGCUCCUAUUACUGUAUAUAUUCAAUUACAACAAAUUU